This 243-nucleotide ribosomal RNA is filed under the name uncultured bacterium. Its description in RNAcentral is "partial 16S ribosomal RNA". It matches the Rfam family "Bacterial small subunit ribosomal RNA", at positions 92 to 334 of the family's 1533-position model. The record is from RNAcentral.
CGACCGGCGCACGGGUGCGUAACGCGUAUGCAACCUACCUUUAACAGGGGGAGUAACACUGAGAAAUUGGUACUAAUACCCCAUAAUAUCAUAGAAGGCAUCUUUUUAUGGUUGAAAAUUCCGAUGGUUAGAGAUGGGCAUGCGUUGUAUUAGCUAGUUGGUGGGGUAACGGCUCACCAAGGCGACGAUACAUAGGGGGACUGAGAGGUUAACCCCCCACACUGGUACUGAGACACGGACCAG